AAGCAUGUAGCUCACUUGGUUAGAGCGGUCGACUCAUAAUCGAUUCGUAGCGGGUUCGAUUCCCGUCAUGUUUACCG
RNAcentral lists this transfer RNA (77 nucleotides) under Ketobacter sp. RNAcentral's name for it is "tRNA-Met". It matches the Rfam family "tRNA". Rfam says of the family: Transfer RNA (tRNA) molecules are approximately 80 nucleotides in length. Their secondary structure includes four short double-helical elements and three loops (D, anti-codon, and T loops). The record is from RNAcentral. Lineage: Bacteria; Pseudomonadati; Pseudomonadota; Gammaproteobacteria; Pseudomonadales; Ketobacteraceae.